ACUAUAGAGAGCUUGCUGGAACCUCAGUUAAACCAGUUUCAUUUGUUGUGAAAUGAGGAUGAUGAGAAGAAGACCUACCUUGUUUUACCAAACAAUAGCACAAAUGCUGGAAUAUUAUUACGGCUAAUAGUCAUUAUUGUGGUUAAUGUUUAUGAAGAGAGUACUAGGUGCUGUUCUGUAUUAAAUACAUGUAUUAUCUCCCUUAAUACUCAAAACAGUCUUAUGAGGAGUGCCUGGAAGAAGUCUGUGUCUAGCAACCUCUGAACAGAGACAUGGAAAGGCCUUCAGCCUCUGGGGAGAUAUGAGUUACAGACCUAAAGUCCAGACUUUCAGACAUGGUAAGCCUUUUCACUUGCAUGGGCUUUGAAAGGGGGUGCUAAAGCUCUAGAGUUCCUGCUGCAGGGAGUUAAUCUUCCAGAAAAGGCCUGCAAAGGCUCUGAGAAGCUUCACCCAGCCCAGCUUUCCUCAGAUCUCCCUCAGGCAGCUGUGACUCCUUAGUUCCCUCUUGGCUCCUCCCCAGUCCAGAUUAGCCCUGGUUGCAUUGUCAUUUCACUGCCAGUCAGAGCACAUCUAUGGAGCAGAGUCACCUCUGGAGGCUCAGGAGUCUGGGGCCCCAGCCCUUUGAUAGCUGAGUUUUAGAAAUACCUUGAGAUUUGGGAGGGUACCAGGGAACAGGGUCAAGGGUGCUAAGGAACCGCUGGAGUAAGGAGCUGUGUUCAGGGGCAAAGGUGAUUCACAGGGGAUGCUAAUCCUUCAGUCUACAGGGUUUACUGAUCCUACCUAUUGUUUGGUCUUUGAGGGCAGGAAUGCUAGGCCUGAGAGAGGGAGGCACUGAUAGUAAUAAUGACAGCUACUUUUUAUCCAGACCAUCUAUAUGUCAGACACCAUACGUACACCCUGUCAUUUAAUCCUCCAAUAACUCUGUGAGAGAGCUAGGAAUAGUUGCAUUUUAUGGAUUAAAUAGUUUAAAAAAAAAGAAAAACACCCUGAAGCUCAGAGAAGUUGCCCAUAACCAUUGAGAGAGAAUUGGAAUUGAACCCAAUCCCAUAUCUGUGUAUCUCAAGCCAGUGGUAGACUGCCUAGAAAUAUAAAUUUUGUCCUCAUCAUCAAUACUUGGGCUACCUGAUGUGAAGAGGCG
This 1138-nucleotide long non-coding RNA is filed under the name Capra hircus (goat). RNAcentral describes it as "lncRNA (ENSCHIG00010019806.1)". The record is from RNAcentral. Lineage: Eukaryota; Metazoa; Chordata; Mammalia; Artiodactyla; Bovidae.